GCCCAACUCCUACGGGAGGCAGCAGUAGGGAUCUUCCACAAUGGACGCAAGUCUGAUGAGCAACGCCGCGUGAGUGAAGAAGGCUUUCGGGUCGUAAAACUCUGUUGUUGGAGAAGAAUGGUCGGCAGAGUAACUGUUGUCGGCGUGACGGUAUCCAACCAGAAAGCCACGGCUAACUACGUGCCAGCAGCCGCGGUAAUACGUAGGUGGCAAGCGUUAUCCGGAUUUAUUGGGCGUAAAGCGAGCGCAGGCGGUUUUUUAAGUCUGAUGUGAAAGCCCUCGGCUUAACCGAGGAAGCGCAUCGGAAACUGGGAAACUUGAGUGCAGAAGAGGACAGUGGAACUCCAUGUGUAGCGGUGAAAUGCGUAGAUAUAUGGAAGAACACCAGUGGCGAAGGCGGCUGUCUGGUCUGUAACUGACGCUGAGGCUCGAAAGCAUGGGUAGCGAACAGGAUUAGAUACCCUGGUAGUCCAUGCCGUAAACGAUGAAUGCUAGGUGUUGGAGGGUUUCCGCCCUUCAGUGCCGCAGCUAACGCAUUAAGCAUUCCGCCUGGGGAGUACGACCGCAAGGUUGAAACUCAAAGGAAUUGACGGGGGCCCGCACAAGCGGUGGAGCAUGUGGUUUAAUUCGAAGCAACGCGAAGAACCUUACCAGGUCUUGACAUCUUUUGAUCACCUGAGAGAUCAGGUUUCCCCUUCGGGGGCAAAAUGACAGGUGGUGCAUGGUUGUCGUCAGCUCGUGUCGUGAGAUGUUGGGUUAAGUCCCGCAACGAGCGCAACCCUUAUGACUAGUUGCCAGCAUUUAGUUGGGCACUCUAGUAAGACUGCCGGUGACAAACCGGAGGAAGGUGGGGAUGACGUCAAAUCAUCAUGCCCCUUAUGACCUGGGCUACACACGUGCUACAAUGGAUGGUACAACGAGUUGCGAGACCGCGAGGUCAAGCUAAUCUCUUAAAGCCAUUCUCAGUUCGGACUGUAGGCUGCAACUCGCCUACACGAAGUCGGAAUCGCUAGUAAUCGCGGAUCAGCACGCCGCGGUGAAUACGUUCCCGGGCCUUGUACACACCGCCCGUCACACCAUGAGAGUUUGUAACACCCGAAGCCGGUGGCGUAACCCUUUUAGGGAGCGAGCCGUCUAAG
RNAcentral lists this ribosomal RNA (1139 nucleotides) under Lacticaseibacillus paracasei. RNAcentral describes it as "bacterial SSU rRNA". It matches the Rfam family "Bacterial small subunit ribosomal RNA", at positions 330 to 1461 of the family's 1533-position model. Lineage: Bacteria; Bacillati; Bacillota; Bacilli; Lactobacillales; Lactobacillaceae. The record is from RNAcentral.